UACAGCCUCGUACGGACGUACGAAGAAAUUUUCAUCUCGUGUGACGCGAGAAAGAGAGGGAGAGAGAGAGAGAGAGAGAGAGAGAGAGAGAGCGACACUUUUUGGCGCGAGAUCGAGAUAAAGAAAUACGCGAAAAUCGACAGGUAGAAGAAGAAGAAGAAGUCGAGAUCGAAGGAUCAUCUCGACGGUGGAUCCAGAGAAGAUAGAUCACAACGCACCGACGGCAACGUCAACGACUAUUUUUUCGGCGGUAACCAGCGAUAAGUAUAAUAACGAAGCUGGCACUCUCCAAUAUGUCCCUGUUCGCGUGUUGUACACGUCCGAGUCACCGACGAGUCGAGGAAACUCGUCAGCAAGCUUUGACGAGAGAACCACCAGAAAUCUCAUGGGAAAACACAUUAGGUGCACCCAAUGGUGUACCUUUCGAUGACGACACGAAGGAUCUCCUUAAGAAUUGCCUCGACGUUUCGAUUCCACCUCAGACUACCAUAACGGAUAUCAUCAAGCGUAGCUCAAGCUUUCCUAUCAAUUUCCCAAUAAACACCGUUAGAUGUUCAACAUUGAGAGAUAGAGGUGUCAGUUCUGAUAUAUUGGAGUUAAACGCUAAUUCGGCGUAUCCAUUGAUCCAUGAGGCCAUGCUACCACUCAUAGCACGAUGGUUAAAGCACAAACGUCAAUAUGGUAGUGCGAUCGAGAGAGCCCUUUAUAAAGAAAUGGGUCUUAUAGAGUUUAUUCAACGACUUCUCGAAAAAAGGGCCGUCAAUUUCUUUGGCUCGGACGAUCGAUACAAGCUGAUCGAUGGAAAAACCGGUGUUGAUGGUUGGGAGAGCGUAGGAACGGAUUAUGAGAAAGAGCCGCUGGUUCUGACGAAGUGCCUGUCGUACGACGAAAUCAAAUUGUCGUCAAUGAUCGUAGUUUCAUCUCACACGGAAUUCAUCAACGACGGUUCUCGAGAAAAUAGGGGCGUAGUAACAAGUGAUCCAGACUCCGUCCAGCCCAGAGGCGUUAUUAUGGGUGUCGUGGGAGCAAGAUUCGAAAAACCACGAGUUAUGGAAUAUCAGGAUAUACUUAUAACUCCUUUACAAAAUAAUAUGGAUAAUGGAUACGGUCCAAACGUCGAAGGUAUGACACAAGAAAAACGUGGGCUUAGAAUAAUAUGGGCGAAUUUUUAUGGAGAAAUCUAUCAUCCGCUUUACGAGGAAACGGUAAAGCGUAUUAAAUCUAAAGACAAUAAAAGAUAUCUAUCGCUUACGAGUCAGACGGUUUUCGACAUUGAAAAUUAUAUGAAAAGAACUCUUUUAUCUGUUGAAAUAAUACUUCUCGAAGCGAAUACUAGAGCCGAAAAACAAAAUACCACUGCUUUCCUUCACGUUGUUGGAUUCGGUCUUGGAGCAUGGAAGAUAAUACAGGAUCAAGAAAUAUAUUUCUUAAAGACCUUUGAGAUAGCAAUUAGAAAGAUGAACAAGAAAUUGAAAUACGUAUCAGACGUGAUGUUCGCUUACUUUAGACAACAGAAAUGUGGGAAUACAGGAAACGGCGAUUAUCUUGGAGAUAUCAAGAUCCAUUUUGCUCUGAGAGAACCCCAUAGUAAAUUAUUGAGAUCGACGGAUGCAAGCAAGUUACUGAUCGUAACUUAUGCUUGGGACGGAAACGCUCAACCAGUCGACUUACAGGGAACGAAUUUUGGAGCGGUUAUCUUGCAUCGAGUGGAGAUCCAGCAGCAGCAUGCAGCAGUCAAAUAGCAGAAUUGCAUAAUUCUUGGAUAAAUCCAAGAACUUGCGGCGCUAGUUUACACGUCGCAUCUGCCGAACACGGAAUUUUGCACAUAUCCGACUACGCGAGACUUCAUCUUACUUAGGAAAGGGCCGGCCCAACGGGCAGCGGUCAACGAAGACCAUCUCGAUCACCGCGCAGUCAGAGAAGUCGAAGUGCCGAUGUUGAUUGC
RNA transcript from Vespa velutina, 1945 nucleotides. RefSeq lists it as uncharacterized. The transcript is spliced from 10 exons. NCBI's taxonomy places the organism in Eukaryota, Metazoa, Arthropoda, Insecta, Hymenoptera, Vespidae. The record is from RefSeq and is a predicted model, not a curated record.